AGGGCACCACCAGGAGUGGAGCCUGCGGCUUAAUUUGACUCAACACGGGAAAACUCACCCGGCCCGGACACUGGAAGGAUUGACAGAUUGAGAGCUCUUUCUUGAUUCAGUGGGUGGUGGUGCAUGGCCGUUCUUAGUUGGUGGAGUGAUUUGUCUGGUUAAUUCCGAUAACGAACGAGACUCUAGCCUACUAAAUAGAUCGUCGGCUUACAAACGCCGGCGAGACUUCUUAGAGGGACAGGCGGUGAUUCAACCGCACGAAACAGAGCAAUAACAGGUCUGUGAUGCCCUUAGAUGUCCGGGGCCACACGCGCGCUACACUGAAGUGAUCAGCGUGCUUUUUCAACCUACUCUGUCAAGAGCGGGGAACCCAAUGAACCUUCUUCGUGAUUGGGAUAGGGGAUUGUAAUUAUUCCCCUUGAACGAGGAAUUCCCAGUAAGCGCGAGUCAUAAGCUCGCGUUGAUUACGUCCCUGCCCUUUGUACACACCGCCCGUCGCUACUACCGAUUGAAUGUUUU
Molecule: ribosomal RNA, 519 nt
Filed under: uncultured eukaryote
Lineage: Eukaryota
Description: SSU rRNA
Rfam family: Eukaryotic small subunit ribosomal RNA
Source: RNAcentral